Molecule: regulatory RNA element, 94 nt
Organism: Hymenobacter sp.
Lineage: Bacteria; Pseudomonadati; Bacteroidota; Cytophagia; Cytophagales; Hymenobacteraceae
Rfam family: SAM riboswitch aptamer (S box leader)
About the family: The SAM riboswitch is found upstream of a number of genes which code for proteins involved in methionine or cysteine biosynthesis in Gram-positive bacteria.
Source: Rfam
UUUUUAUAAAGAGGCGCGGAGAGACAGGCUCGAUGAACCGCCGGCAACCCCCAGCUACCCGCUGGUACGGUGCCAAUUCCUGAUCAUAUAAAAA